UACGUAGGGGGGCAAGCGUUGUCCGGAUUUAUUGGGCGUAAAGAGCGUGUAGGCGGCUAGGUAGGUCCGUUGUGAAAACUCGAGGCUCAACCUCGAGACGUCGAUGGAAACCAUCUAGCUAGAGUCCGGAAGAGGAGAGUGGAAUUCCUGGUGUAGCGGUGAAAUGCGCAGAUAUCAGGAAGAACACCCGUGGCGAAGGCGGCUCUCUGGUACGUGACUGACGCUGAGACGCGAAAGCGUGGGGAGCAAACAGG
This 254-nucleotide ribosomal RNA is filed under the name uncultured bacterium. RNAcentral describes it as "partial 16S ribosomal RNA". It matches the Rfam family "Bacterial small subunit ribosomal RNA", at positions 524 to 776 of the family's 1533-position model. The record is from RNAcentral.